Cyprinus carpio carpio is the source of this 788-nucleotide long non-coding RNA. NCBI's taxonomy places the organism in Eukaryota, Metazoa, Chordata, Actinopteri, Cypriniformes, Cyprinidae. The record is from Ensembl.
GUACGCUACAAAACCAUGCUGUUUUUUUACUACCAAGACACAGUUUCUGAGCGUGAGUUAUUCCAUAACGGACACAAACAAUUCUGUCCCUGAAGAACUGAAACGUAAACAAAGGAAUUAUCAUCCAUAUUACAACGUUAUUGCUUCGUUGGGCUAAAUGUGUUCCAUGAGAUUUCGUUCAGUGAACCCUUACCUUCCUAACUAAACCGGGAUUUACAGCUGUGGAUGUGUUUAUGACUCGUUGUUACGACGAAUCUGAUUGAGUGGCGAUCAGAGAAUGAAAGGACAUCUGAAGGACAGCCAGGAUGAACAGGAGCAACACAGAAACGCACUUCCUCUACGCAGGCUGUCCUUGAGCGCCUCUGUGCUUUGCUGCGGUGAAGAGCUGGAGGAGAACUGAUCUGCUGAUAUUUGAGUGUGAGUAGAGCAGGUUGGCAGUGAUGUUAUCUCCCUCCCCAGUAAAGACCAAUGAGCUCAUGUAAUUUAGAUUAAUGGCAGGGGGGCUUUUCCAUGCUUGGGUCACUGCCUGAAAACUCCCUAGAAAGGAGAGGAUGAAUUCUCGUUCUCUCAUCUGAUCCCAAUAGCCAGAUCCCAGCUUUCCAUUUCCAUUUUUUCCCUGCUUGCUCUGUUUAGGGUCUCGGAGACCCCAACGGCAAUUUAAUAGACUGGAAAAUAUACUUACCUUUGAACGUUCAAGUCAAUAUUUUCCCAAAUCUUAUGAAAGUAUAAACAAGGUUUGACAAAUCUUUGCUCCACGGACCAUUUUAAAAUGCUUAUCAUUAGAGUUG